RNAcentral lists this RNase P RNA (354 nucleotides) under Dysgonamonadaceae bacterium. RNAcentral's name for it is "RNase P RNA component class A". It matches the Rfam family "Bacterial RNase P class A". From Rfam's summary of the family: Ribonuclease P (RNase P) is a ubiquitous endoribonuclease, found in archaea, bacteria and eukarya as well as chloroplasts and mitochondria. Its best characterised activity is the generation of mature 5'-ends of tRNAs by cleaving the 5'-leader elements of precursor-tRNAs. The record is from RNAcentral. Lineage: Bacteria; Pseudomonadati; Bacteroidota; Bacteroidia; Bacteroidales; Dysgonomonadaceae.
GUAGUCGACCGGUCUGUCGCUUUGAAAAAACAAAGAGGAAAGUCCGGACAAUACAGAGCACCCUACUAUCUAACGGAUAGCUGUUUGCGAGAGCAGAGUUAAGUAGAAGAAAAGAACCGCCUUAUACAUUAAGGUAAGGGUGAGAAGGUGAGGUAAGAGCUUACCGGUUCUCAUAGCAAUGUGGGAAGCCGUACAACUUAGGGAUUGCAAGAUCAUGUACACCGGCGCAUGUAGAAUGGCUCGUUCGAUGCCGGGGGGUAGAUCGCUUGAAUUGAAUGGUAACAUUCAAUCCAGAUAAAUGACAGACGUCUGAUUUUUCAGAAACAGAAUCCGGCUUACAGGUUGACUGCUUUU